This 349-nucleotide ribosomal RNA is filed under the name Lysinibacillus sp. HST-98. RNAcentral describes it as "bacterial SSU rRNA". It matches the Rfam family "Bacterial small subunit ribosomal RNA", at positions 1 to 337 of the family's 1533-position model. Lineage: Bacteria; Bacillati; Bacillota; Bacilli; Caryophanales; Bacillaceae. The record is from RNAcentral.
UUUAUGGAGAGUUUGAUCCUGGCUCAGGACGAACGCUGGCGGCGUGCCUAAUACAUGCAAGUCGAGCGAACAGAAAAGGAGCUUGCUCCUUUGACGUUAGCGGCGGACGGGUGAGUAACACGUGGGCAACCUACCUUAUAGUUUGGGAUAACUCCGGGAAACCGGGGCUAAUACCGAAUAAUCUCUUUUGCUUCAUGGCAAGAGACUGAAAGACGGCAUCUCGCUGUCGCUAUAGGAUGGGCCCGCGGCGCAUUAGCUAGUUGGUGAGGUAACGGCUCACCAAGGCGACGAUGCGUAGCCGACCUGAGAGGGUGAUCGGCCACACUGGGACUGAGACACGGCCCAGACU